AAGGGUUGUAGUUUAAAAAAAAAUAUUUAAUUUGCAAUUAAAAGAUACUUUUAGUUAAUCUG
This 62-nucleotide transfer RNA is filed under the name Anoeconeossa unicornuta. Its description in RNAcentral is "tRNA-Ala". Lineage: Eukaryota; Metazoa; Arthropoda; Insecta; Hemiptera; Aphalaridae. The record is from RNAcentral.